This 29-nucleotide small RNA is filed under the name Fragilariopsis kerguelensis. Its description in RNAcentral is "partial Mitochondrion-encoded tmRNA". Lineage: Eukaryota; Bacillariophyta; Bacillariophyceae; Bacillariales; Bacillariaceae. The record is from RNAcentral.
UUCGAAUCCGGAAUCUCUGAUACGAAGAA